CGAGGGGUGCAAGCGUUGCUCGGAAUUAUUGGGCGUAAAGGGUAGGUAGGUGGUCUUGUUUGUCUGUGGUGAAAUCCUUGGGCUUAACCCAAGAAGUGCCAUAGAAACGGCAAGACUCGAGUUCUGGAGAGGGUCGUGGAAUUCCCGGUGUAGCGGUGAAAUGCGUAGAGAUCGGGAGGAACACCAGAGGCGAAGGCGGCGACCUGGACAGAUACUGACACUCAACUACGAAAGCGUGGGUAGCAAACAGGAUUAGAUACCCUGGUAGUCCACGCUGUAAACGAUCGGUACUAGGCUUAGGAGGUCUUGACCCCUUCUGAGCCGGAGCUAACGCGAUAAGUACCGCGCCUGGGAAGUACGGUCGCAAGACUA
RNAcentral lists this ribosomal RNA (372 nucleotides) under uncultured organism. RNAcentral's name for it is "bacterial SSU rRNA". It matches the Rfam family "Bacterial small subunit ribosomal RNA", at positions 526 to 896 of the family's 1533-position model. The record is from RNAcentral.